Long non-coding RNA from Nasonia vitripennis (jewel wasp), 1189 nucleotides. RefSeq lists it as uncharacterized. The record is from RefSeq and is a predicted model, not a curated record. The transcript has 4 exons. Lineage: Eukaryota; Metazoa; Arthropoda; Insecta; Hymenoptera; Pteromalidae.
UUAUACUCGCAGGAAAACCGGUCGAUUUCGCUCUUUUGUUUUUGACGUUUCGCACGUGAAAAGCAAAAAUCUUUGUUCACUCAAUAAUAAUUGAAUUUCAAUAUAAUUAUUGAGUGUUUAAGCAGCUACAGCAAUACAUUAUCUUUGUUUCAGAUAUCGUUUCAAAUAACAACUCCUGGUGCACGAGCUGUCCUUGCCUACAUCCACCAGCAGAGGCUGAUAGGAAGCGGGUCCAGGAAGCUGUACCUGCAGCAUCAUCGCAGAUACUUCAUUCAUCUUUCUUUUCUUUCCCUGUUCUUAUUAAUUAUUUACUUUCCUUUUUCAACUAUUAUAACAAUAGAUGUGAACUCUCUUCUCUUAUUUCUGAAAUAAUUUCUCUUUGUCGAGGUACCAUUAUCUUCUUGGGGAUUGCUGAACGAAGCUGCUAUUCUUCUGGAACAUCUAGCUGUCCAUGUAACUUCAAAAAAACAAGUUCAAAGUUACACCAACAAAAAAGGUUCAAAACUUAGAAGUUCAACGAAACACCAAGGCCAUCAAGGUACUCUGCACUUCUGGACUGGGAAACUGCAGCUUACAGGACAUUCGCAGUCAAUCUCUUUGUUAGCAGUUCCUUGAUAAAGAUGACUGUGGCUGUGCAUCUGGUAUGUUCCCGCCAUGUCUCUCUUGAUGCGCAACACAGAAGUAAAGUGUCUAGUAAAAGCUAGUGCAAGUCUUGUGCGGGGAAGGAAAAUUAUUAGGGAUUAGCAUGUGAGGGAGUAGGCUAGUUAAUCUAAGAUCUCUUCGAGCCUGAACAUCCACACGCGUUUAUAGCCAGAAAAAGCCUAUGAUUCUUACAAUGAAGGAUAAAGUGAUCUUUUAAGUUUUAUUUAAGUUUGCCUAUUCUUUCUAUGCACUGACUAUUAUACAAUGUGAUAUAUAUUUUUAUAGUAAAAAAUCGAAUAAGAAUAAAAAAUACAAUAGUCUCUGCAGCCAUAAGAGAUUCACUUCAUUAAUUAUUGUAAGAAAUUACAGACUUAUUCUGGCUAAGCGCAUGCAGGUGUUAAGAUUGUAAUAUAUAUGUAUUAUAUAUGGCGUGAUAUUAUUAAUUAACUGAUUUUAUUGCUCUUGCGCUUGUUUAUUAUAAUUGUAUUUUUUAUCAUUAUUUAAAUUUGUUUUACUUGAUAUUAAUAAAAAAUAAUUUCAUUAAAAU